UUGUGUCUUAGAGGUUGCAGUGUAUUAUCAGUACGGUAGGGGAGAGUGAGGACGUCGUAGAUCCUGCCGGAAAGGAAUCAUUGCCGAAGCAUAGAAAUCUGCCUCGAUUUCUAGAGCUGGGACUAUAUUGAACAAAUAUAGGACUGUCACUGGUAGAGACCCAUUUUACCAGUGAGGGGCUAUUUCACAC
RNAcentral lists this non-coding RNA (190 nucleotides) under Geosporobacter ferrireducens. Its description in RNAcentral is "Lysine sequence". It matches the Rfam family "Lysine riboswitch aptamer". From Rfam's summary of the family: Riboswitches are metabolite binding domains within certain messenger RNAs that serve as precision sensors for their corresponding targets. Allosteric rearrangement of mRNA structure is mediated by ligand binding, and this results in modulation of gene expression. The record is from Rfam by way of RNAcentral. Lineage: Bacteria; Bacillati; Bacillota; Clostridia; Peptostreptococcales; Thermotaleaceae.